GAUGAACGCUGGCGGCGCGCCUAACACAUGCAAGUCGAACGGCACCUAUCUUCGGAUAGAAGCGAGUGGCGAACGGCUGAGUAACACGUGGAGAACCUGCCCCCUCCCCCGGGAUAGCCGCCCGAAAGGACGGGUAAUACCGGAUACCCCCGCGAGCCGCAUGGCCCCCGGGCUAAAGCCCCGACGGGAGGGGAUGGCUCCGCGGCCCAUCAGGUAGACGGCGGGGGGACGGCCCACCGUGCCGACAACGGGUAGCCGGGUUGAGAGACCGACCGGCCAGAUUGGGACUGAGACACGGCCCAGACUCCUACGGGAGGCAGCAGUGGGGAAUCUUGCGCAAUGGGGGGAACCCUGACGCAGCGACGCCGCGUGCGGGACGGAGGCCUUCGGGUCGUAAACCGCUUUCAGCAGGGAAGAGUCAAGACUGUACCUGCAGAAGAAGCCCCGGCUAACUACGUGCCAGCCGCCGCAGUAA
RNAcentral lists this ribosomal RNA (475 nucleotides) under uncultured bacterium. RNAcentral's name for it is "partial 16S ribosomal RNA". It matches the Rfam family "Bacterial small subunit ribosomal RNA", at positions 28 to 523 of the family's 1533-position model. The record is from RNAcentral.